UAGGGAAUCUUCCACAAUGGACGCAAGUCUGAUGGAGCAACGCCGCGUGAGUGAAGAAGGUUUUCGGAUCGUAAAGCUCUGUUGUUGGUGAAGAAGGAUAGAGGCAGUAACUGGCCUUUAUUUGACGGUAAUCAACCAGAAAGUCACGGCUAACUACGUGCCAGCAGCCGCGGUAAUACGUAGGUGGCAAGCGUUGUCCGGAUUUAUUGGGCGUAAAGCGAGCGCAGGCGGAAGAAUAAGUCUGAUGUGAAAGCCCUCGGCUUAACCGAGGAACUGCAUCGGAAACUGUUUUCUUGAGUGCAGAAGAGGAGAGUGGAACUCCAUGUGUAGCGGUGGAAUGCGUAGAUAUAUGGAAGAACACCAGUGGCGAAGGCGACUCUCUGGUCUGCAACUGACGCUGAGGCUCGAAAGCAUGGGUAGCGAACAGGAUUAGAUACCCUGGUAGUCCAUGCCGUAAAACGAUGAGUGCUAAGUGUUGGGAGGUUUCCGCCUCUCAGUGCUGCAGCUAACGCAUUAAGCACUCCGCCUGGGGGAGUACGACCGCAAGGUUGAAAC
RNAcentral lists this ribosomal RNA (555 nucleotides) under uncultured bacterium. Its description in RNAcentral is "partial 16S ribosomal RNA". It matches the Rfam family "Bacterial small subunit ribosomal RNA", at positions 355 to 900 of the family's 1533-position model. The record is from RNAcentral.